GAUGAACGCUGGCGGCGUGCCUAAUACAUGCAAGUCGAGCGAACAGACGAGGAGCUUGCUCCUCUGACGUUAGCGGCGGACGGGUGAGUAACACGUGGAUAACCUACCUAUAAGACUGGGAUAACUUCGGGAAACCGGAGCUAAUACCGGAUAAUAUAUUGAACCGCAUGGUUCAAUAGUGAAAGACGGUUUUGCUGUCACUUAUAGAUGGAUCCGCGCCGCAUUAGCUAGUUGGUAAGGUAACGGCUUACCAAGGCAACGAUGCGUAGCCGACCUGACAGGGUGAUCGGCCACACUGAGACUGAGCCACGGUCCAGACUCCUACGGGAGGCAGCAGUAGGGAAUCUUCCGCAAUGGGCGGAAGCUUGACGGAGCAACGCCGCGUGGGUGAUGAAGGUCUGCGGAUCGUAAAACUCUGUUAUUAGGGAAGAACAAAUGUGUAAGUAACUAUGCACGUCUUGACGGUACCUAAUCAGAAAGCCACGGCUAACUACGUG
This 497-nucleotide ribosomal RNA is filed under the name uncultured bacterium. RNAcentral describes it as "partial 16S ribosomal RNA". It matches the Rfam family "Bacterial small subunit ribosomal RNA", at positions 28 to 507 of the family's 1533-position model. The record is from RNAcentral.